RNAcentral lists this ribosomal RNA (473 nucleotides) under Priestia aryabhattai. Its description in RNAcentral is "bacterial SSU rRNA". It matches the Rfam family "Bacterial small subunit ribosomal RNA", at positions 348 to 813 of the family's 1533-position model. Lineage: Bacteria; Bacillati; Bacillota; Bacilli; Caryophanales; Bacillaceae. The record is from RNAcentral.
UCAGCAGUAGGGAAUCUUCCGCAAUGGACGAAAGUCUGACGGAGCAACGCCGCGUGAGUGAUGAAGGCUUUCGGGUCGUAAAACUCUGUUGUUAGGGAAGAACAAGUACRAGAGUAACUGCUYGUACCUUGACGGUACCUAACCAGAAAGCCACGGCUAACUACGUGCCAGCAGCCGCGGUAAUACGUAGGUGGCAAGCGUUAUCCGGAAUUAUUGGGCGUAAAGCGCGCGCAGGCGGUUUCUUAAGUCUGAUGUGAAAGCCCACGGCUCAACCGUGGAGGGUCAUUGGAAACUGGGGAACUUGAGUGCAGAAGAGAAAAGCGGAAUUCCACGUGUAGCGGUGAAAUGCGUAGAGAUGUGGAGGAACACCAGUGGCGAAGGCGGCUUUUUGGUCUGUAACUGACGCUGAGGCGCGAAAGCGUGGGGAGCAAACAGGAUUAGAUACCCUGGUAGUCCACGCCGUAAACGAUGAA